CGGCGUGGAUUAGGCAUGCAAGUCGCGCGAUAAAUGUAGCAAUACAUGGAAAGCGGCGAAAGGGACAGUAACGUGUGGGAACCUACCUCGGGGUCUGGGAUAGCGGCGGGAAACUGCCGGUAAUACCAGAUUAUGUCUCCGGACCAAAGGUGUGAUUCCGCCCUAAGAUGGGCCCACAUGCUAUUAGUUAGUUGGCGGGGUAAUGGCCCACCAAGACUAAGAUGGCUAGCGGGUGUGAGAGCACGACCCGCGUCACUGGGACUGAGACACUGCCCAGACACCUACGGGUGGCUGCAGUCGAGAAUCUUCGGCAAUGGGCGCAAGCCUGACCGAGCGACGCCGCGUGCGGGAUGAAGGCCCUCGGGUUGUAAACCGCUGUCGAGGGGGAUGAAAUUCCGGUGGGUACUCCCAUCGGAUUGACAGAUCCCUGGAGGAAGGGUGGGCUAAGUUCGUGCCAGCAGCCGCGGUAAGACGAACCACCCGAACGUUAUUCGGAAUCACUGGGCUUAAAGCGUGCGUAGGCGGCCUUGAAAGUUAGGUGUGAAAUCCCACAGCUCAACUGUGGAACUGCGCUUAAAACUACAAGGCUAGAGGGAUAUAGAGGUGAGCAGAACAGAUGGUGGAGCGGUGAAAUGCGUUGAUAUCAUCUGGAAUACCGGAGGCGAAGCGGCUCACUGGGUAUCUUCUGACGCUGAG
This 696-nucleotide ribosomal RNA is filed under the name uncultured organism. Its description in RNAcentral is "bacterial SSU rRNA". It matches the Rfam family "Bacterial small subunit ribosomal RNA", at positions 40 to 750 of the family's 1533-position model. The record is from RNAcentral.